UACGUAGGGGCCGAGCGUUGUCCGGAGUUACUGGGCGUAAAGCGCGCGCAGGCGGCGCGGUAAGUCUGAUGUGAAAUCUCCCGGCUUAACUGGGAGGGGUCAUUGGAAACUGCCGAGCUUGAGGCGAUGAGAGGGGUGUAGAAUUCCCGGUGUAGUGGUGGAAUGCGUAGAUAUCGGGAGGAAUACCAGUGGCGAAAGCGGCACCCUGGCAUUAGCCUGACGCUCAUGUGCGAAGGCGUGGGGAGCGAACGGG
Molecule: ribosomal RNA, 253 nt
Filed under: uncultured bacterium
Lineage: Bacteria
Description: partial 16S ribosomal RNA
Rfam family: Bacterial small subunit ribosomal RNA
Source: RNAcentral